This 482-nucleotide ribosomal RNA is filed under the name Escherichia coli. RNAcentral describes it as "bacterial SSU rRNA". It matches the Rfam family "Bacterial small subunit ribosomal RNA", at positions 1 to 472 of the family's 1533-position model. The record is from RNAcentral. Lineage: Bacteria; Pseudomonadati; Pseudomonadota; Gammaproteobacteria; Enterobacterales; Enterobacteriaceae.
AAAUUGAAGAGUUUGAUCAUGGCUCAGAUUGAACGCUGGCGGCAGGCCUAACACAUGCAAGUCGAACGGUAACAGGAAGAAGCUUGCUUCUUUGCUGACGAGUGGCGGACGGGUGAGUAAUGUCUGGGAAACUGCCUGAUGGAGGGGGAUAACUACUGGAAACGGUAGCUAAUACCGCAUAACGUCGCAAGACCAAAGAGGGGGACCUUCGGGCCUCUUGCCAUCGGAUGUGCCCAGAUGGGAUUAGCUAGUAGGUGGGGUAACGGCUCACCUAGGCGACGAUCCCUAGCUGGUCUGAGAGGAUGACCAGCCACACUGGAACUGAGACACGGUCCAGACUCCUACGGGAGGCAGCAGUGGGGAAUAUUGCACAAUGGGCGCAAGCCUGAUGCAGCCAUGCCGCGUGUAUGAAGAAGGCCUUCGGGUUGUAAAGUACUUUCAGCGGGGAGGAAGGGAGUAAAGUUAAUACCUUUGCUCAUUGA